CUUGGUCAUCUACGACGACUCCAGCUCCCGCCCAGACAUCUUCUGCUCUCCGGAUGUGGUUUCUACGGCUUCAUUUUCCCCAGCUCCAGCUUCAACUCCGGCCUGCUUCCCCACACCCCAUAAACCCUAAGCCCCGAGACCACUCCCCUGGAGUGUCAAUGCGGAUCAGGUGUUGACUGGGGAUGUUAUUCUGGGCAAGAUUUCCUUUUCUGGGAUAUCUGUCCGGCUUGUAUACCCAAGCCUGCAGAGGCCGGCGGGCGAGGUUGUCCGAGGUCGUCCUCACAUGGCUUGGUGUGCUUUAAUUUCUUCCCCCGCUUCGGCUGCAGCAUGGAAGAGCCGUUUUCCUCUUCCUCCGCUCGUCAUUUUUCAUCCCUUGAAUCCCUAUCCAUACAUACCUUCAGGAAAGGUCUGCAAAUCCUCUAAUGGUGCUGAACAGAACACGAAGACUUCUUUAGCUCUCUCUCUCUCUCUCUGACGUCCGUCCGUUCGUGGUUUCUUCACCACGCUGCUUUUCUUUAGUCAAACUUCUUCGUGCUGUCAACUUCAUGCGCAAGUCCACGUCUGCCUGCCGCACGACGCCUGCUUUGACGAAUAGUCCGCGGAAGUCGUCAUCUCGUAUCUCCAAGUCUUGGGGCAGCGAUGCCCAUUGACCCGCGAUGCGCUGGUGUCGUCCGAACCUGUUGACCUGUGCGCUGACCAUGACGGCGAGCCUUGUCUUCUUCUUGUUGUUCGAGCGGCGGCGACCUGGUCGACGCGGCAGCCGGAGCCAGACCUCGGUCCGACGAGGACCCAGCUCCGGCAGAAGUAAGCGGCGCCGCCGCUGACCGUCAAGGGCCCUCCGUUACGAUGCUGGCCGCCGGCAUCUUCCCGGCGAGUGCUGUAAAUUCGUACCCUGUAGGUCGUUGAACUGCUAGCUGCCUCAGCCCCUCAAUUGAGCGAGCCUACCCAGUCCGAUCGAUCCAGGAAAUCCGGGGGCGUGUUGGGGCCCCCGCCCCAAGGCCGGGCAGUCUCUCCUUUUUCGCAACAAAUCGUCUUCGCUUCAAAUGCAGCGCAGCGCAGCGCCAAAUAAUUCGCUGCAGCUGUCGAUGUAGAGGGAGGGUGCCCUUUUAAACGAGAUCGACGUUGUUGAUUAUAGAAGCCGCGAAAUGCCCCCUCGAUUCCUGCCUGAUGUUCUUUCUGCUCGAACCUGCCUGGGGCAAGGACGCGGCGGCC
This 1212-nucleotide long non-coding RNA is filed under the name Spirodela polyrhiza (greater duckweed). RNAcentral's name for it is "long non-coding RNA (SPOL_LNC002243)". The record is from RNAcentral. Lineage: Eukaryota; Viridiplantae; Streptophyta; Magnoliopsida; Alismatales; Araceae.